CCCAGUGUGGCGUAGUGGUUUGAGUGUUGGAAGAUGACUCUGGAGAUCAGGGUUCGAUUCCCUGCUCAGCCA
Phrynosoma platyrhinos (Desert horned lizard) is the source of this 72-nucleotide non-coding RNA. The record is from the annotation of a GenBank genome assembly. Lineage: Eukaryota; Metazoa; Chordata; Lepidosauria; Squamata; Phrynosomatidae.